This 253-nucleotide ribosomal RNA is filed under the name uncultured bacterium. Its description in RNAcentral is "partial 16S ribosomal RNA". It matches the Rfam family "Bacterial small subunit ribosomal RNA", at positions 524 to 776 of the family's 1533-position model. The record is from RNAcentral.
UACGGAGGAUCCAAGCGUUAUCCGGAAUCAUUGGGUUUAAAGGGUCCGUAGGCGGGCUUAUAAGUCAGUGGUGAAAUCUCCCAGCUCAACUGGGAAACUGCCAUUGAUACUGUGGGUCUUGAAUUAUUAGGAAGUAACUAGAAUAUGUAGUGUAGCGGUGAAAUGCUUAGAUAUUACUUAGAACACCAAUUGCGAAGGCAGGUUACCAAGAUUCAACUGACGCUGAGGGACGAAAGCGUGGGGAGCGAACAGG